UAAACUCCCCUUUGUUGAGGAAGAUAAUGACGGUACUCAACAAGGAAGUGACGGCUAACUACGUGCCAGCAGCCGCGGUAAAACGUAGGUCACAAGCGUUGUCCGGAAUUACUGGGUGUAAAGGGAGCGCAGGCGGGAAGACAAGUUGGAAGUGAAAUCCAUGGGCUCAACCCAUGAACUGCUUUCAAAACUGUUUUUCUUGAGUAGUGCAGAGGUAGGCGGAAUUCCCGGUGUAGCGGUGGAAUGCGUAGAUAUCGGGAGGAACACCAGUGGCGAAGGCGGCCUACUGGGCACCAACUGACGCUGAGGCUCGAAAGUGUGGGUAGCAAACAGGAUUAGAUACCCUGGUAGUCCACACUGUAAACGAUGAUUACUAGGUGUUGGAGGAUUGACCCCUUCAGUGCCGCAGUUAACACAAUAAGUAAUCCACCUGGGGAGUACGACCGCAAGGUUGAAACUCAAAGGAAUUGACGGGGGCCCGCACAAGCAGUGGAGUAUGUGGUUUAAUUCGACGCAACGCGAAGAACCUUACCAAGUCUUGACAUCCCUUGACGAUGCUGGAAACAGUAUUUCUCUUCGGAGCAAGGAGACAGGUGGUGCAUGGUUGUCGUCAGCUCGUGUCGUGAGAUGUUGGGUUAAGUCCCGCAACGAGCGCAACCCUUAUGGUCAGUUACUACGCAAGAGGACUCUGGCCGGACUGCCGUUGACAAA
RNAcentral lists this ribosomal RNA (711 nucleotides) under Faecalibacterium prausnitzii. RNAcentral's name for it is "bacterial SSU rRNA". It matches the Rfam family "Bacterial small subunit ribosomal RNA", at positions 426 to 1162 of the family's 1533-position model. Lineage: Bacteria; Bacillati; Bacillota; Clostridia; Eubacteriales; Oscillospiraceae. The record is from RNAcentral.